CUGCUGCUUUAGUACAAAAAGAUGUAUGCUAAUUGCCUACAUAGAAUAUUAAAGACCCAUAGCUUUUAUCUACCUUAAGGGUCUGUACAACACACGAAUUCCACUCUAAACUGAACGCAAAGCUAUGUUCCUCUCUGCCUCAUGGCAGUGGCCACAGCAUCCUUCAAUCUUUUUGUUGAGGCAUACAACUCCACUAGCCCGAUUUCACCAUCAGGUUUCUCAGUGAAGGAUGAAUCUAGGUUAUAAGUUGAAAGUGAGGGUCAAAGGAAGGUAUGGGGAAGUUGAGGAAAUAGGAGGAGGUGUGAAGUGUCAGGGAGUGGAGAAAGUGAGUCUGUUAGUACUAAAAUGGUAUUUUGUUUUAGGCAGCACCAGUUUGAUGGUUGAGAUAAUGCAAAUGAAAUCAGUUAACUUGGGGUUAUGAUUUCCCAAGUCUAAGCACACAGAAACCAGUUGGGAGGGUUCUGAGGAAAAGAGGGAAUUAGUUGAAGGGAUCUGUAAGCAAACAGUAAUUAUGGAUAUAAGGGAUUAUAGCAUUUUUUGCCUGACAGAAGAAAGUGUGUGUAUUUAUAUGUGUUUACAGGUGUUUAAAACUUAAUGAUGUUAUUGUCUUGAAGGGAACUUGUCAUCUGGUGGAGAAGUAUAUUUCUGAAAGUAAGGGUAUGUAGGCCCUCAGUGAGGUGGAAGAAUAAGAAGGAUGGUAUGGUGGUUUCGGUGGUAUGACCAAAAUGCAGAUUUUGAAGACCUGUGUCAGUGGCAAGGGGAUGGUUGAGGUUGGAGUAGAGGAUAACAUCACUGGAGAUGAGGUGAUUAAGGAACUGAGUAGUCAGCCUGGGCAACACGGCAAGACCCCAUCUCUACAGAACGUUAAAAAAAAUUAGCCGGGCAUGGUGGUGCAUGCCUAUGGUCCUAGCUUCUUGAGAGGCUGAUGGAAGAGCAUCGCAAAUGAGAAGCGAGUGGCCACAAACCCUACUUCCUCUCCUUGUAUGAACAGCUUCUAGAUUGUGAAGGUGAAGAGGGACGGAAUAAACUUUUUGACUUGAUUCAGUCAGAACUUUAUGUAAGACCUGAUGACGUCCAUGUGAACAUCCGGCUAGUGGAGUUGUAUCGCUCAACUAAAAGAUUGAAGGAUGCUGUGGCCUGCUGCCAUGAGGCAGAGAGGAACAUAGCUUUGCCUUCAAGUUUAGAGUGGAAUUCGUGUGUUGUACAGACCCUUAAGGAAUAUCUGGAGUCUUUACAGUGUUUGGAGUCUGAUAAAAGUGACUGGCGAGCAACCAAUACAGACUUACUGCUGGCCUAUGCUAAUCUUAUGCUUCUUAUACUUUCUACUAGAGAUGUGCAGGAAAGUAGAGAAUUACUGGAAAGGUGCGUUGACUUUGAGGAGAAUGCUUUAGUAUAAAUUGUAGUUUUUCUUUUUGCAGUAAGUUCAUUGCUCUAAAUUUCUUUACUGAAUCAUUAUUUCUGUAAUGUACCUAGGAGUUAUAGUUAAUACAGUGAACCACUAGGAGGCAAUCUUAUUUUUCUUCUUUUACGGGGAAGUUCUAAUUGGUUUUAUAUGACUUUCCUUUUUAGAGAACUCUUAUAGUUCAAGCUUGAUUAAAAUUAGCCUUAUGGUUAAAUACUCAGUUUUGUCAUAGUCACGCUUAAAAUGAAUGUUCUAACUGCUAUUUCAUAUUUUAUUUUUUAUAAUAGUAUAAUCUUGAGUGAAAAUUAAAGUUCAUCUGUCAUCAGAUGGCUAGGUUCACAUGUACUAGUAUAAGCACUUAGCAUCACUGGUAUUUCAGAAAAUACUGUUUUAGCUAAGAAACAAAAUAACUCAACUAUGUGAUUUACCUUUUUUCCUAAAUUUUGAUUUUGAAAACCAGUGUCUCCA
Pan troglodytes (chimpanzee) is the source of this 1870-nucleotide long non-coding RNA. The record is from Ensembl. Lineage: Eukaryota; Metazoa; Chordata; Mammalia; Primates; Hominidae.